This 506-nucleotide ribosomal RNA is filed under the name uncultured bacterium. RNAcentral describes it as "partial 16S ribosomal RNA". It matches the Rfam family "Bacterial small subunit ribosomal RNA", at positions 29 to 523 of the family's 1533-position model. The record is from RNAcentral.
AGUGAACGCUGGCGGUAGGCCUGACACAUGCAAGUCGAACGGCAGCACAGGAGAGCUUGCUCUCUGGGUGGCGAGUGGCGGACGGGUGAGGAAUACAUCGGAAUCUACUUUUUCGUGGGGGAUAACGUAGGGAAACUUACGCUAAUACCGCAUACGACCUACGGGUGAAAGCAGGGGACCUUCGGGCCUUGCGCGAUUGAAUGAGCCGAUGUCGGAUUAGCUAGUUGGCGGGGUAAAGGCCCACCAAGGCGACGAUCCGUAGCUGGUCUGAGAGGAUGAUCAGCCACACUGGAACUGAGACACGGUCCAGACUCCUACGGGAGGCAGCAGUGGGGAAUAUUGGACAAUGGGCGCAAGCCUGACCCAGCCAUACCGCGUGGGUGAAGAAGGCCUUCGGGUUGUAAAGCCCUUUUGUUGGGAAAGAAAUCCAGCUGGCUAAUACCCGGUUGGGAUGACGGUACCCAAAGAAUAAGCACCGGCUAACUUCGUGCCAGCAGCCGCCGUAA